GAUGAGAACGCAGCGAAAUGCGAUAAGUAAUGUGAAUUGCAGAAUUCAGUGAAUCAUCGAAUCUUUGAACGCACCUUGCGCUCCUUGGUAUUCCGAGGAGCAUGCCUGUUUGAGUGUCAUGGAAUUCUCAACCUUUUCAGCUUUCUUUGUUGAUCAGGCUUGGAUGUGGGAGUAUGCGGGCUUCUCAGAAGUCGGCUCUCCUGAAAUGCAUUAGCGGGACCUUUGUUGCCUGGCUUUGGUGUGAUAAUUAUCUACGCCAUUGUAGUCAAGCAGCUUAAAAUGAGGUUUCAGCUUCUAACCGUCUCCCCUGAGACAACUUUUUGACAAUUUGACCUCAAAUCAGGUAGGACUACCCGCUGAACUUAAGCAUAUCAAUAAGCGGAGGA
This 386-nucleotide unclassified non-coding RNA is filed under the name soil metagenome. Its description in RNAcentral is "partial contains 5.8S ribosomal RNA, internal transcribed spacer 2, and large subunit ribosomal RNA". The stretch from base 5 to 119 matches the Rfam family "5.8S ribosomal RNA", at positions 40 to 154 of the family's 154-position model. The record is from RNAcentral.